RNAcentral lists this ribosomal RNA (529 nucleotides) under uncultured bacterium. RNAcentral describes it as "bacterial SSU rRNA". It matches the Rfam family "Bacterial small subunit ribosomal RNA", at positions 791 to 1319 of the family's 1533-position model. The record is from RNAcentral.
UAGUCCACGCCGUAAACGAUGGAUACUAGGUGUUCGGAGUAUUUAACCCUCUGAGUACCGUAGUUCACGCAUUAAGUAUCCCGCCUGGGGAGUACGGUCGCAAGGCUAAAACUCAAAGGAAUUGACGGGGGCCCGCACAAGCGGUGGAGUAUGUGGUUUAAUUCGAAGCAACGCGAAGAACCUUACCUGGUCUUAACAUUUAGCGACAACCUCAGAGAUGAGGCUUUCUCUUCGGAGACGCUAGGAUAGGUGCUGCAUGGCUGUCGUCAGCUCGUGUCGUAGGAUGUUGGGUUAAGUCCCGCAACGAGCGCAACCCUUACCCUUAGUUGCCAGCAUUAAGUUGGGGACUCUAAGGGGACUGCCGGUGUUAAACCGGAGGAAGGCGGGGAUGAUGUCAAGUCCUCAUGGCCCUUACGAUCAGGGCUACACACGUAUUACAAUGGCAGAAACAAACCGUCGCGAAGCUGCAAAGUGGAGCUAAUCGGAAAAACACUGUCUCAGUCCGGAUUGAAGUCUGCAACUCGACUUC